RNAcentral lists this small RNA (132 nucleotides) under Salmonella enterica. Its description in RNAcentral is "RtT sRNA". It matches the Rfam family "RtT RNA". Rfam says of the family: This family represents a bacterial cis-regulatory element known as RtT RNA. The record is from RNAcentral. Lineage: Bacteria; Pseudomonadati; Pseudomonadota; Gammaproteobacteria; Enterobacterales; Enterobacteriaceae. RNAcentral also lists the same sequence under 2 other names.
GUUUGCACUUGUCGGGGAAGGAUGAGAACCUUCGAUUAAGGUUCGACUCGAGCGAAAGCGAGAGAACGUUGCCAACGGCAACGGCCCGUAGGGUGAGGAGCGAAGCGACGAAUAAUCCUUCCCCCACCACCA